GAUGCCUACGGGGGGCAGCAGUAGGGAAUCUUCCACAAUGGGGGAAACCCUGACGCAGCAACGCCGCGUGCGGGACGAAGGCCCUCGGGUUGUAAACCGCUUUCAGCAGGGAAGACUUUACGACGGUACCUGCAGAAGAAGCUCCGGCUAACUACGUGCCAGCAGCCGCGGUAAUACGUAGGGGGCGAGCGUUAUCCGGAUUCAUGGGGCGUAAAGCGCGCGUAGGCGGCCGCCUAAGCGGGACCUCUAACCCCGGGGCUCAACCCCGGGCCGGGUCCCGGACGGGGCGGCGCG
RNAcentral lists this ribosomal RNA (294 nucleotides) under uncultured bacterium. Its description in RNAcentral is "partial 16S ribosomal RNA". It matches the Rfam family "Bacterial small subunit ribosomal RNA", at positions 334 to 644 of the family's 1533-position model. The record is from RNAcentral.